CCCGACUCAUGCCAGGACGACAUACGUUCAACUCUGGCCUACGAUUUACGACUUAGCGACGGACGUUCGGCUCAGGCCUUAGGACGGGCGGUUAGUGGUCGAAGUUCGUCUUGCCUACCCUAUGGCAUGCUACCGGCUAUCUCAACUAACAACUUGGGAUGUCGUUAAGUGUCCUAAUGUGGUACGUUGGGACUGCGACUCUCCGACCCUAUGACUCCACGACUCUAAGUCGCAACACAUCCUGACAGGCA
RNAcentral lists this long non-coding RNA (251 nucleotides) under Elaeis guineensis (African oil palm). Its description in RNAcentral is "long non-coding RNA (EGUI_LNC073333)". The record is from RNAcentral. Lineage: Eukaryota; Viridiplantae; Streptophyta; Magnoliopsida; Arecales; Arecaceae.